RNAcentral lists this ribosomal RNA (491 nucleotides) under uncultured Pseudomonadota bacterium. RNAcentral describes it as "uncultured proteobacterium partial 16S ribosomal RNA". Lineage: Bacteria; Pseudomonadati; Pseudomonadota. The record is from RNAcentral.
CACAGAGUUUGCCGGUGCUUCCUCCUCCGGUACCAUCGCGCUACCUGAACUUUCCCCAGAUAGCCGUUUUUCCCGGAUGACAGAGCUUUACAACCCGAAGGCCUUCCUCACUCACGCGGCGUGGCUGCGUCAGACUUUCGUCCAUUGCGCAAUAUUCCCUACUGCUGCCUCCCGUAGGAGUCUGGACCGUGUUUCAGUUCCAGUGUGCCUGAUCAUCCUCUCAGACCAGGUACCCAUCAUCGUCUUGGUAAGCUGUUACCUCACCAACUAACUAAUGGGACGCAGACUCAUCCAUCGGCGAUAGCUUGCGCCAUCUUUCCUCGCAAGAGCUUCACACUCCCGAGAGCUUACUCGGCAUUAGCCCGUCUUUCGACAGGUUAUUCCAAUCCAAAGGGUAGAUUAUCCACGUGUUACUCACCCGUGCGCCGCUUUACUCAUCCUUGCGGACUUUCGCGCUCGACUUGCAUGUAUGAGGCCCGCGCCAGCGUUCG